GAUGAACGCUGGCGGCGUGCCUAAUACAUGCAAGUCGAGCGAACAGACGAGGAGCUUGCUCCUCUGACGUUAGCGGCGGACGGGUGAGUAACACGUGGAUAACCUACCUAUAAGACUGGGAUAACUUCGGGAAACCGGAGCUAAUACCGGAUAAUAUAUUGAACCGCAUGGUUCAAUAGUGAAAGACGGUUUUGCUGUCACUUAUAGCUGGAUCCGCGCCGCAUUAGCUAGUUGGUAAGGUAACGGCUUACCAAGGCAACGAUGCGUAGCCGACCUGAGAGGGUGAUCGGCCACACUGGAACUGAGACACGGUCCAGACGCCUACGGGAGGCAGCAGUAGGGAAUCUUCCGCAAUGGGCGAAAGCCUGACGGAGCAACGCCGCGUGAGUGAUGAAGGUCUUCGGAUCGUAAAACUCUGUUAUGAGGGAAGAACAAAUGUGUAAGUAACUAUGCACGUCUUGACGGUACCUAAUCAGAAAGCCACGGCUAACUACGUG
RNAcentral lists this ribosomal RNA (497 nucleotides) under uncultured bacterium. RNAcentral's name for it is "partial 16S ribosomal RNA". It matches the Rfam family "Bacterial small subunit ribosomal RNA", at positions 28 to 507 of the family's 1533-position model. The record is from RNAcentral.